AUCUAGCUGGAGAGUCCCAAACAGGACGAAACACGAGUCCUGGAU
This 45-nucleotide non-coding RNA is filed under the name Schistosoma haematobium. The record is from RNAcentral. Lineage: Eukaryota; Metazoa; Platyhelminthes; Trematoda; Strigeidida; Schistosomatidae.